This 246-nucleotide ribosomal RNA is filed under the name uncultured bacterium. Its description in RNAcentral is "partial 16S ribosomal RNA". It matches the Rfam family "Bacterial small subunit ribosomal RNA", at positions 90 to 334 of the family's 1533-position model. The record is from RNAcentral.
GGCGACCGGCGCACGGGUGAGUAACGCGUAUCCAACCUGCCCAUGACCGGGGGAUAACCCGCAGAAAUGCGGACUAAUACCCUAUAUAGUCCAACGAUGCCAUCAGAUUUUGGACGAAAGAUUUUAUCGCUCGCGGAUGGGGAUGCGUCUGAUUAGCUUGUUGGCGGGGUAACGGCCCACCAAGGCAUCGAUCAGUAGGGGUUCUGAGAGGAAGGUCCCCCACAUAGGAACUGAGACACGGUCCUA